GAGUUUGAUUCUGGCUCAGAUUGAACGCUGGCGGCAUGCUUUACACAUGCAAGUCGAACGGCAGCACAGGGAGCUUGCUCCUGGGUGGCGAGUGGCGAACGGGUGAGUAAUGUAUCGGAACGUGCCUGGUAGUGGGGGGUAACUACUCGAAAGAGUGGCUAAUACCGCAUGAGAUCUUUGGAUGAAAGCGGGGGACCUUCGGGCCUCGCGCUACUGGAGCGGCCGAUAUCAGAUUAGGUUGUUGGUGGGGUAAAGGCCUACCAAGCCUGCGAUCUGUAGCUGGUCUGAGAGGACGACCAGCCACACUGGGACUGAGACACGGCCCAGACUCCUACGGGAGGCAGCAGUGGGGAAUUUUGGACAAUGGGCGCAAGCCUGAUCCAGCAAUGCCGCGUGCAGGAUGAAGGCCUUCGGG
RNAcentral lists this ribosomal RNA (415 nucleotides) under Brachymonas sp. canine oral taxon 015. RNAcentral describes it as "bacterial SSU rRNA". It matches the Rfam family "Bacterial small subunit ribosomal RNA", at positions 9 to 422 of the family's 1533-position model. Lineage: Bacteria; Pseudomonadati; Pseudomonadota; Betaproteobacteria; Burkholderiales; Comamonadaceae. The record is from RNAcentral.